This 948-nucleotide ribosomal RNA is filed under the name uncultured Acidobacteriota bacterium. RNAcentral's name for it is "bacterial SSU rRNA". It matches the Rfam family "Bacterial small subunit ribosomal RNA", at positions 8 to 934 of the family's 1533-position model. The record is from RNAcentral. Lineage: Bacteria; Pseudomonadati; Acidobacteriota.
AGGGUUUGAUCAUGGCUCAGAAUCAACGCUGGCGGCGUGCCUAACACAUGCAAGUCGAACGCGAAAGCCCCGCAAGGGGCAAGUAGAGUGGCAAACGGGUGAGUAACACGUGGGUGACCUGCCUUCGAGCGGGGGAUAACGUCCCGAAAGGGACGCUAAUACCGCAUAACAUCCCGCCUUUGAAGAGGUGGAGAUCAAAGCUGGGGAUCGCAAGACCCGGCACUUGAAGAGGGGCCCGCGUCUGAUUAGCUAGUUGGUGGGGUAACGGCCUACCAAGGCAACGAUCAGUAUCCGGCCUGAGAGGGCGGACGGACACACUGGGACUGAGACACGGCCCAGACUCCUACGGGAGGCAGCAGUGGGGAAUUGUUCGCAAUGGGCGCAAGCCUGACGACGCAACGCCGCGUGGAGGAUGAAGAUUUUCGGAUCGUAAACUCCUGUCGAAUGGGACGAAUAGAUAGCGGGUUAACAGCCCGCGAUCCUGACGGUACCGUUAAAGGAAACCCCGGCUAACUCCGUGCCAGCAGCCGCGGUAAUACGGGGGGGGUAAGCGUUGUUCGGAAUUACUGGGCGUAAAGGGCUCGUAGGCGGCCAACUAAGUCAUACGUGAAAUCCCUCAGCUUAACUGGGGAACUGCGUGUGAUACUGGAUGGCUUGGAUUUGGGAGAGGGAUGCGGAAUUCCAGGUGUAGCGGUGAAAUGCGUAGAUAUCUGGAGGAACACCGGUGGCGAAGGCGGCAUCCUGGACCAAUAUUGACGCUGAGGAGCGAAAGCCAGGGGAGCAAACGGGAUUAGAUACCCCGGUAGUCCUGGCCCCUAAACGAUGAAUGCUUGGUGUAGCGGGUAUCGAUCCCUGCUGUGCCGAAGCUAACGCAUUAAGCAUUCCCGCCUGGGGAGUACGGUCGCAAGGCUGAACUCAAAGGAAUUGACGGGGGCCCGCACAGCGGUG